GAAUAUUUGCAACUUUGAAGGUUAUUUUAAGGACAGCAGCAGAAGAAUUAUGGCAGCUUCUUUAAAAUAUGAAGACUUCGAAGUUAUUUAUCCAAACCAACCUGAUCAUUUCUUAAGAGUGAAUAUACCUUGGAAGACGUGUCCUGCCUUUAGUAGCGUCACAAUGGAUUACAUCCUCUAUAAAGCAGUCUGGGUUCUGUUUUUCCUCUUCUAAUCCUUCACCCAUCUGAGCUAAAGUCUAGACCUAAGGAGGCUACUAAUUCAGGGAUCGAGUAAUCUGCCAAGCAAGAGUUUAUUCAAGCACAGUUUGAAAUAAAGGUUUCAAAUGCAUAGCCUGUCGAUACUUUGGAAGGAUUCUCAUCAUAACGAGUAUGCAAUUUGCUAUAAAGAAGAAUGCCCAUUACGGACUAAAUGUUUAUGUCCUCCUAAAAUUCAUAUGUUGAAGGCCUAACUCUCAAUGUGAUGAUUAUGUGGAGAUGGUGCCUUUGGGAGGAUAUGGGAGGACACCUGAGACGGCAGGCCAGAAGUCACUCAGUAGGAGAAACAUCCGUUAGAAGUAAUAAUGUGGGAUUGCUGAAGUAAAGACUAUAGGAAGAAAAAAGUGUCUGUGUGUAGGAAACGGAAAGGGAGAGAAAAAUACACUGAGAUGGUAAAGUAAGGAAGUGGAAGAUCAGCAGAAUGUGCAGAUGCCAAGCCAUCCAAGAAAAUCAUCUCUUGUGAUUGUUGCGAAGUCAACUAGCUAAUGUGACUCACUGCUAGGCUGUUGGAUCUGAGACUUAUGUGGGAUAAUUUAGAAACUUGCUAGUGUCUUAAGAUCAAUUACUCACCAAUGAGAGUGGCAUUGAACUGUGAAUGUUCCUCCUAGAUUUUCCAUGAAGACUAAUGGUUUUGUCUUGUCUUGAAUUUGUUUUAAUUACAAUUUGUAUACAUCCUGUUCCACCCUGAAAUUUUUAUUUUCCAAAUGGUUUUUCAUUUAAAGAGACUAAAUAAAGGUUCUGACU
This is a long non-coding RNA of Homo sapiens (human), 1001 nucleotides long. Ensembl annotates it as long intergenic non-protein coding RNA 343. The record is from Ensembl. Lineage: Eukaryota; Metazoa; Chordata; Mammalia; Primates; Hominidae.